RNAcentral lists this ribosomal RNA (253 nucleotides) under uncultured bacterium. Its description in RNAcentral is "partial 16S ribosomal RNA". It matches the Rfam family "Bacterial small subunit ribosomal RNA", at positions 524 to 776 of the family's 1533-position model. The record is from RNAcentral.
UACGUAGGCAGCGAGCGUUGUUCGGAGUUACUGGGCGUAAAGGGUGUGUAGGCGGUUGUUUAAGUUUGGUGUGAAAUCUCCCGGCUCAACUGGGAGGGUGCGCCGAAUACUGAAUGACUCGAGUGUGGGAGAGGUGAGUGGAAUUCCAGGUGUAGCGGUGAAAUGCGUAGAUAUCUGGAGGAACACCGGUGGCGAAGGCGGCAUCCUGGACCGGCAUUGACGCUGAGGCGCGAAAGCCAGGGGAGCGAACAGG